RNAcentral lists this transfer RNA (68 nucleotides) under human gut metagenome. It matches the Rfam family "tRNA". Rfam says of the family: Transfer RNA (tRNA) molecules are approximately 80 nucleotides in length. Their secondary structure includes four short double-helical elements and three loops (D, anti-codon, and T loops). Further hydrogen bonds mediate the characteristic L-shaped molecular structure. tRNAs have two regions of fundamental functional importance: the anti-codon, which is responsible for specific mRNA codon recognition, and the 3' end, to which the tRNAs corresponding amino acid is attached (by aminoacyl-tRNA synthetases). tRNAs cope with the degeneracy of the genetic code in two manners: having more than one tRNA (with a specific anti-codon) for a particular amino acid; and 'wobble' base-pairing, i.e. permitting non-standard base-pairing at the 3rd anti-codon position. RNAcentral also lists the same sequence under 1 other name. The record is from RNAcentral.
UGAUUUAGCUCAGUUGGUAGAGCACAUCCUUGGUAAGGAUGAGGUCACCGGUUCAAAUCCGGUAAUCA